This 453-nucleotide ribosomal RNA is filed under the name uncultured delta proteobacterium. Its description in RNAcentral is "bacterial SSU rRNA". It matches the Rfam family "Bacterial small subunit ribosomal RNA", at positions 45 to 473 of the family's 1533-position model. The record is from RNAcentral. Lineage: Bacteria; Deltaproteobacteria.
UGCUUAACACAUGCAAGUCGAACGCGAAAGGGACUUCGGUCCCGAGUAGAGUGGCGCACGGGUGAGUAACGCGUAAGUAAUGCUACCCCUGUAUCUGGAAUAACCCACCGAAAGGUGAGCUAAUACCGGAUACGUUUAUCUUGAUGCGAAUGAUGAUAAAGAAAGGUGGCCUCUUCAUGAAAGCUACCGUACAGGGACGAGCUUGCGUACCAUUAGCUGGUUGGUAGGGUAAUGGCCUACCAAGGCGACGAUGGUUAGCGGGUCUGAGAGGAUGAUCCGCCACACUGGAACUGAAACACGGACCAGACUCCUACGGGAGGCAGCAGUGAGGAAUAUUGCGCAAUGGGGGCAACCCUGACGCAGCGACGCCGCGUGGACGAUGAAGGCCCUUGGGUCGUAAAAUCCUGUCAGAUGGAAAGAAAUGUACAGGUGUUAAUAUCGCCUGUAUUUGAC